CUGUGGAUAACCUGCGGGGGUCCCCUGUGGACGAGGGGGAACGCCGCUCCGGGCGGUCGCGGGCGCCGUACGGUCGGCUUCCGCGGU
RNAcentral lists this transfer RNA (87 nucleotides) under Streptomyces purpurascens. RNAcentral's name for it is "tRNA-Ser(gga)". Lineage: Bacteria; Bacillati; Actinomycetota; Actinomycetes; Kitasatosporales; Streptomycetaceae. The record is from RNAcentral.